GCCCGCGUUGUCUAAUGGUUAUGACGUCAGACUUCUACCAGGCAACGUAGAUCUGGAGGUUGCGGGUUCGAGUCCCGCCGUGGGUU
Non-coding RNA from Marasmius sp. AFHP31, 86 nucleotides. The record is from the annotation of a GenBank genome assembly. NCBI's taxonomy places the organism in Eukaryota, Fungi, Basidiomycota, Agaricomycetes, Agaricales, Marasmiaceae.